RNAcentral lists this long non-coding RNA (441 nucleotides) under Physcomitrium patens. Its description in RNAcentral is "long non-coding RNA (PPAT_LNC004643)". The record is from RNAcentral. Lineage: Eukaryota; Viridiplantae; Streptophyta; Bryopsida; Funariales; Funariaceae.
UUUGGGUUUUAUAUAAUUUAAUUAGGGCUAGCAAUUUUGGCUAGUUCGUACAAUUGGUAUAACAUCUAUAGUUCAAAAUUUGAUAUUAUUUGGAUUAUUGGGUGUGCUAAGUGUAAACAAAAUUUUGUAAUAAUCUAAUGGUGUGGUUUAAAGAUAUCUAGUUUUUAGCACAAGAUGAUUUCGGAAAUUGGCAGUUUAGGGUUGGGUAGGAUUUUUGUGAUAUCUAGUGAUUUAUUUGUUGGAUCAAGGUGAAAUUUGGCAUGGUGUUGAAGGACUUAAAGAUCAAGCUGCACACCAAUUUUGAGUUAAAAUUAACAAUUGGAGAAGGAGAAAUCACUGCUGGGAUUUUUGCUUCACUUUUCAAGUUAGCAGCCGAGUGACAUUAGUGCAAUUUUUUGGAGGUUUUAUCACAAUCUAUAAGUUGAAUUGGGCUGAAAAUUC